Long non-coding RNA from Nannospalax galili (Upper Galilee mountains blind mole rat), 202 nucleotides. RefSeq lists it as uncharacterized. The transcript is spliced from 3 exons. The record is from RefSeq and is a predicted model, not a curated record. Lineage: Eukaryota; Metazoa; Chordata; Mammalia; Rodentia; Spalacidae.
GGAUCCGGAUUGGACGACUGAUCGGAGGAACUGAGAGAGCAGGAGAGUGACCAUAGCCGGAGGAGAGCAACCACAGCCAGCAACCACAGCAGUUGGGCGUGCUGCUCCUGUCUUUGCCAAUCAUCUCCUUGAACGGUUCCUGAGUCCCUUUGGGUACAUCUUGUAGGAUAAUGUUCCAGCCCCCAUUUGGAUCCCAGCCCAG